CUUAUGUGUGAGCAUCACUAGGUGCCAAAUGCAAUCAAUAUGAAUUCUGCUUUUGAUCACACUGGUAUCAGCCUCACCCAGAGGAGAACUUAGCUUUUAGACCUUGUGUCACAUUUUAAGAAAAAUAAUAUUGACUCAUGUUAUUUCAAAAUCAUUGUUUGUAGCCAGCAGAUUUUAAAUCAAAACAGUCAGGCACGUUUUCAUUUUGCGCUCAUUGUUAAAUAAGCCGUGGAAAAGGUUUCUCUUUGCAGAACUGCCUUCCCCCCUCCAAGAUUAUCACAUUUCAUGUGUUCUAGUUCAUCCCAAGAUUGUGCUAUUGUUCUCUUCAAAGUUUCCUGGGCCAUUAAUCUCUCUCUUUUGUUUCCAUCUGGCCUCAGGAUAGGUCAGCUGGAAAUUGCAUUGCUGGAGAAUAUUCUGGUCUUGAGAACACAAAGAAAAAGGAGCAAGGAGAGCCUCCAAAUACUGUUGAUUCCUCAUUCAGAGUGUACAACCAAGCAAGCUCAUAAAGGCUGUGUUACUAAAUCCUUUAUCUCCCCAAAGCCAGCAGAAUAUACUGGGCACCAGGCACCAUGUUCAACAACAGCUCCUAUUCUCUUGUUUAAAAAGUCUACAGAGAAAGGAUGCGGGAUCUCUUUUGGAGCUCAUGAGUGGAAGGAAGAUCUGUGUGGAGGACAUUCUCAAAAUCUUGGUUGCACAUACGGUUCUGGGUUCCAGGCAUCCCCUGCAUACAGGCCUUCUGAGAAAAGGGUUCAUGGGACACGUUUCUUCUGUUUAUGCACCAGCAAGUGCAUGUCUGAAGGCAGUAUUCACUGGGACUGCACUGGUACCUGGUCUCAGCACUGUUCUCUGGCAGAUGGAAAAGAGAUUUGCUGAAGUAUGUGGGAAAAACAUGCCUUCUUGAGUCUGGAAGCCUAAUGAAGAUAACUUGGGGCUAAGAGCUAAUGGACAUUUCAUGUUCACUAUGUAUCAGAGGCCUGUGAUUUGAGAGUCUGAAGUCUAAUGUACAGACUGUGGUGCUGGGUUCGUGUAAUUAAAUCUGGUUAAAAAAAAC
Long non-coding RNA from Cyanistes caeruleus (blue tit), 1051 nucleotides. Lineage: Eukaryota; Metazoa; Chordata; Aves; Passeriformes; Paridae. The record is from Ensembl.